Paramisgurnus dabryanus is the source of this 111-nucleotide non-coding RNA. RefSeq annotates it as small Cajal body-specific RNA 11. Lineage: Eukaryota; Metazoa; Chordata; Actinopteri; Cypriniformes; Cobitidae. The record is from RefSeq and is a predicted model, not a curated record.
UUGUCUCAGUUUAUGGCAUUGGACACACUGAUGGGACACACAGAAACAUCCAUCCAUAUAAAGGGGACAUUUCCAAAGCAGGACUUUGUCCUAAAGGCAGGAUGGGACAUC